This 504-nucleotide ribosomal RNA is filed under the name Paraconiothyrium sp. Its description in RNAcentral is "partial large subunit ribosomal RNA". It matches the Rfam family "Eukaryotic large subunit ribosomal RNA", at positions 102 to 609 of the family's 3401-position model. Lineage: Eukaryota; Fungi; Ascomycota; Dothideomycetes; Pleosporales; Didymosphaeriaceae. The record is from RNAcentral.
CAACAGCUCAAAUUUGAAAUCUGGCUCUCUUUGGGGGUCCGAGUUGUAAUUUGCAGAGGAUGCUUUGGCAUUGGCGGCGGUCUAAGUUCCUUGGAACAGGACAUCGCAGAGGGUGAGAAUCCCGUACGUGGGCGCCUGCCUUUGCCGUGUAAAGCUCCUUCGACGAGUCGAGUUGUUUGGGAAUGCAGCUCUAAAUGGGAGGUAAAUUUCUUCUAAAGCUAAAUACCGGCCAGAGACCGAUAGCGCACAAGUAGAGUGAUCGAAAGAUGAAAAGUACUUUGGAAAGAGAGUCAAAAAGCACGUGAAAUUGUUGAAAGGGAAGCGCUUGCAGCCAGACUUGCCCGCAGUUGCUCACCUAGGCUUUGGCCUGGGGCACUCUUCUGCGGGCAGGCCAGCAUCAUUUGGGCGGUCGGACAAAGGCCUCUGUCAAGUAUCUCCCUUCGGGGUGACGCUUAUAGGGGAGGCGUAAUGCGACCAGCCCGGACUGAGGUCCGCGCAUCUGCU